RNAcentral lists this ribosomal RNA (427 nucleotides) under uncultured bacterium. Its description in RNAcentral is "bacterial SSU rRNA". It matches the Rfam family "Bacterial small subunit ribosomal RNA", at positions 355 to 774 of the family's 1533-position model. The record is from RNAcentral.
UGGGGAAUUUUGGACAAUGGGCGCAAGCCUGAUCCAGCAAUGCCGCGUGCAGGAUGAAGGCCUUCGGGUUGUAAACUGCUUUUGUACGGAGCGAAAAGGUCUGCCCUAAUACGGUGGGCCCAUGACGGUACCGUAAGAAUAAGCACCGGCUAACUACGUGCCAGCAGCCGCGGUAAUACGUAGGGUGCGAGCGUUAAUCGGAAUUACUGGGCGUAAAGCGUGCGCAGGCGGUUAUGCAAGACAGAGGUGAAAUCCCCGGGCUCAACCUGGGAACUGCCUUUGUGACUGCAGGGCUAGAGUACAGUAGAGGCAGGUGGAAUUCCGCGUGUAGCGGUGAAAUGCGUAGAUAUGCGGAGGAACACCGGUGGCGAAGGCAGUCCGCUGGGCCUGUACUGACGCUGAUGCACGACAGCGUGGGGAGCAAACA